AAAAAUGGAGAAUAACCGCCCUCCCUAAGACU
RNAcentral lists this transfer RNA (32 nucleotides) under Canis lupus familiaris (dog). RNAcentral describes it as "partial tRNA-Thr". Lineage: Eukaryota; Metazoa; Chordata; Mammalia; Carnivora; Canidae. The record is from RNAcentral.